UCAGUGAUCAGUGCAGUGCUCUGUGCUGGUGCUGCUGUGCUGGCCGUGCUGGUCACUGUAGCCGUAGUUGCGGUUGUUCCGUUCCGUUUGGCCCUGUUCUGUUUCGUCAAGCUCUGUUGUAAACUUUAUUUGUUGUUGGUGAAGUCUUGAACGCUGGCAGAUUUUUUGGUUCCCGCUUCCGGCGCUUUGCUGAUGUCGGCGAUCGGUUCCCAAGCAGCACAAUCAAGUGCGUGUGCAUAGUGGUGGAUUGGUAAAAAUGUUAUUUCCUUUAUGAGCAGCUCUGCGAAAAAAAGCACCGCACUGACAGGUCUUCUGCCAGCCACCCCCAUAUACUUGAACUUCCAGUAGAUUGUGCGGCUAUGAUUGUGCUGCUUGGGUUUUUAACGUUGCCGCCGUGCGUGAUAGUUGUAAGCUUCGCCGUCACAUGUCAUCGUUUUAGAAAAGCAGCAAGUCUUCCAAUUUUGCACACUGAUAACGGGACACUCGUGUGGCUUUCUUGUGAGAUCCUUGGGCGGGUGUUGCUGGAAGUGCCUGCGUGUUCUUAUGCAUUACAGUUUCAGUGUUAAACAAGGCACCUUGUUGUUUCAGGUGCACCUCCCAUGUGGCUGAACAACCCAGGAGGCACAGAAUUCAGUUAUGCUGGAUAUCAUUUCAGAGUGCUUGCCCAUUUCCAACCCAAGAGCAGUCAGUCGUCAUUUAUCAAAUAGUUUGUCAGCAAUAAGGUCUCCUCUCAUUUACACACGGGGGAAAACUGGUGGAGAUUCAUCCACAUUGAUGUUGAGAUUAGCAACUCUUGAAUGGCUUUUGGAAACGGAAGAAAUCGUUUGAUUGCAUAUUAAUGAUGGUGGACCUAUUGGGACAUAUUAAGCCAAAGCCAGGGAAUAGGUAAAUUACUCAUUUGUGGCAUACGAACACAUGGUAAAUCAGUCGUGGAUCCGGGGGGGAGGGGGGGCGAUUGCCUCCCCAAAAAAAGUCAGGUUAUACAUUGGAUUUCCCUCUCUCCCCACCUCCACUGUGCGCUCCAAGAAGAAACCCUCCCCAAACCGAGUGUCUGGAUCCGCCCCUGUGGUAAAUGCACCCCUGAAGUAAAGCACCCCCUCACUGAUAUUUCACACAGAAACAGCUCUUCUGAUGGCCUUAUGAUUGGCAUUGUAGUUAAAGGGGAUUACGUGGUGGGAUCUUCGAUAGACCAAAAUCUCCAAUCAGUGGCCUUAGACAUUGGGUCAUGCUUUGUCAGGUUGAACAAGUGCUACAUGCUUGUUUGCCAAAGCAAACACAAAGUAAAACCAGGGGGUAUACUACGAGUUUCAAACAUAUGGAGGACGCUUUAGAUGUGAUGGAUAGUGUGGCAGUGAACAUGAUGAUUUAAAAAGGUUCUGAAGAGAUAGAGGAAAAUCUACUUGUGGAGCACUUCUAGCCUACUUCUGAUUUCAUAAUGCCAAAUGGAGCGGGCAAAAAAGGCCACCAGGGUGCUGGUGUGCGACCUCUGUGGCUACACGACGCGCUGGAAGCACCACAUGGACAGUCACGUGAGAUGUCACACUGGGGAGAGACCGUUCAGCUGCGGCUUGUGUCCCAACGCAUUCACCAAGAAGAGCCACCUGGACAGACACACGCGGGUCCACACUGGGGAACGACCCUUUCAGUGUCCCAUGUGUGGGCAACGUUUUGCUCAGUCAUACAACCUCAAUACUCACAUGAAAAAGCACUAGUCAACCUGAUGUGGACAUCUUUUUGUGGGGGAAAACUUCUAUCCUGCUCUAGUUGUUCCACUCGUGAGGAUAUUUUUAUGAGCUUCUGUGUAUGCUUCAGGAACUGUGAUGCCCAUACUAUUAUUUUGCAGCAAAAUUAAUUGCUUUUGCUGUCAUUUUUUGGUUAAUAUUAGCUCUUUCUAUGGAAUAAUGUUGUGAAAGGCUUCAAAAAGUCUUUGAUGCAAGAGGACACUGUUUUAAAAGCACACGUUUAUUGUUCAUCCUAAAGGAAAAAUAACAAAUGCUCAACACCUUGUAGAAGGGAUCAGCCUAUAAGGAGCAGACAAAAUAUGUUUUCUUAUCGCUGCAAAAUUUCAUUUACAAAAUACCUUGAACGUUUAGCCUUAUGUGUGACUCUCUAUUUGCUCUUGAUCAUAUAAGCAGUACAGUGUGACAUCCCUCACUCAUUCCCUUCUGGGCCCCAUGAAUGAGCUGAGGAUUUCUACAUGACAGACCUGUGUGCAACAAAGUGCACACUUCCUAAUCUAAAUAGUGCAGAAAAUCUCUAGUAAAAUGUGCUGAUUGAGUGGUCUGAAGCAUACUUGCUCUUUGCUUUGUUACGCAGAGUGACAAUUUCGUAAUUCAACGUGCACAUUGGCGAGCUUGCAGAAUUUUGGGGACAGCGUUAGCAAUGUAGCUCCCCAUGUCCUUAUUCACUAAGUAGAAAUCACCUGGGACUUAAUUUAUUUUGCUAGAAGGAGUAUUUAUGUGUGUGGUAACUAAAAAAUGCUGUUGCAUUUUUUUACGUCCAAAGAUUUCUUGAAUGACGUAUUUUGAUUCCAGAUAUUUGUAGUGGUCCAAAGAAAGGUCCCUGGUGUUGUCCUUCUAUGCAACAUUUAUUAUCCUGUGGCAGAUUCACACUAACUUCCACGUGAAUGGCUGAAACUUGGCUGCAUGACGAUGAGUAAAUGAAAUGAUGGCCUAAUGUAGUGCUUGACAGUUGUUUGUGCCGUAUGCAAGAUCUUGGUAUGUGGGGUGCCAGUACACAGGGGUUUUGUUGAGUUAUAACAAGUCACUGGAUAAAGUGGUCUGCAUGAUGUCCAUGUAGAUGGUCAAAUGCUGCAGCUUUGUCUUUGUAAAUCUGUCUUAUAUCUUGAUCGAGGGUGUCCUUAUCUGCAUUCAAUCUGCCAGUAUGCAUAUCUAGUCUGUACCCUUAGUGACAUGAUCUGAUCUGCACUUACAAACUUUAUAGGAAGCUGUCUUGCUUGAAUCUAUACAAAUUGCUGUCCACGGAUAUUUUCCUGUCUUCACCUGUGACAUAAGUGCCUGGCCAGAAGUGAUUAUCUCACCCAAUCUGUUAACUUUGCUGGGGAUGCACUUUGAGAUAACGCACACUGUUGGGCUUCUGCUCGGGGAACUUUAUAUAUUUGCUAGUCAAUUUGUCUUCUGCUCUAGUUAUAAUUGGUUGCAUCAUCUUCUGACUGCUUCUUGGCAGGUACGUCUUGUGCACAAACAUGUUAAUUCAGGUGUCUCAACCCAUUAAUGUUUGCCACGAUACAUGGCAACACAGGGUCAACUGUAGUUGUGUCAAAAUAGAGUAUUGUGCUGUGUGUACUAUAAUAAAUGUGCCAAAUUCUCGUACAAUUGUUUUGUCUCUGUCGAAAAGUAUUUGUAAGGAACCUGUGCAUGCUGAGGUACCUUUUACAUGUUUCAGUUGAUGAUAAUGAAUAUUGAUGAAUAGUGUAGAUUACAAACUGGGAAUUCCAGCCUGGUCUUUAUUAUGUCUGUUCAGUUUAGAUUAGAUUUCUGUGUUUGCAUGCAUACAGAGAUGCAUCAGUAGUUCUUUGUUCUGAUUGUCUAAAAUUGUAGCAUUGUCGGGUUUUGUACAUGUUAGACUGUCAAGUGGGCCCACAUUACUGCCAUUUGACAAAAGUGGUGUUUCAGGGGUGACUAGGAUUGUUUUCUAUACAGUUAAUGUUUACAGUUUCUAACAUGCUGAGCUCUGUGAUGUCUCUCUUCACUCAAACCAAAAACAAACUGAAUUUAAUUGCAUGCAUAUUGUGCUGCAGUAUUUUAAUGCAUUUCACAUACAUUUCAAAAUGAGAUGUUGUGUUGUAUAAAAACGAAAAUGCUUUCACAGUAUUUCCGGUGUACCUGAUGGACUUGAAGUGCAGUUCAUGCAUGGCCAUGCUGUACACUGAGGAGGAAGCAACACAUCAUCAGUGCAGCACAAAGCUUCGUGGCCGAUAUGCGUGCAGGUAUUGUCCUUUCUCCUGCAAUGAUCGUGAGCUCAAGGUUCAGCAUCAAGGGAAACAUUUGAAGCAGAAACCCUACAGUUGCAUGGUUUGUGGCAAAGCAUUUGCUCGAAACAGUGACCUGAACCGCCACCUGAAGAUCCACACAGGGAUACGUCCAUUUCGAUGCGACAUCUGUUCGCGCAAGUUCAAGAUGUCUUGGCAUCUACAAUAUCACCGCAGCACGCACAUUGAAAAGCUGCCAUAAUCUAAAUUGACGAUAAACUUUCCAGUCUUGUUCCCGUUGAAAGACUUAUGAUGGUGCAUGAGUAUUAGUCUCCAUUUAAAGUGACCGUCGCAUCCAGAAAUGGGUCUAUCAAAUUGAUACCAUAGUGUUCGGUAUCGUUCAUUGGUCUAUUUGACAAAUUUUCAUGACUGGGAACUGCUUAGACAUUAAAUAAACAAAUUUUAAAGAUCAGAGCCGCCUCCGCGGGACUGAAAUCAAUGUGACAUAUUUAUCUAAGCGAACCAGAGGGCUGUGCUGGCUGGGAGCAGUCGACCGUGUUGUUAUUGUCUCUAAGUUCGUCUGCUCUGCUUUCGACACUUGUGAAUAUUGGGAAAUUCGCUUCGUCACGUCACGUGAGCAUUCGACUACUUUCACGUCUGGAAGCUCUGAAGUGAUCAUGUCAAGCAGUGCAAGUUGUUACAGUCCUGGUUAUAUGAAGAUGCCCACAGCUAACCCAGAGGUGUUUCACGAGCCGAGGGCCCGCGAGACGAGGUGAAAGUGGGAAGAUGCAAUUUCCUGUCAAACCCUGACCUACGAGAAAAACUACGCGUCUCUUCUUCGCAUUUUUCGGACGACGUCUACAGGUCCACUGACAUUAAGCGAAUGCGCGUGGGGAUUCCAGUAAAAAAGAAAGCCUUUCAGUUGACGCCGUGCCGAUAUCCACUGAACAAAGGCAACUACUCAGCAUGCCAUUGCCCGAGGUACUCAGACCCACUUCCUGAUGCCAAGUAGGGCAAGCCUCCUACCUUCCAGCACCCUCCAACAUAGUGUCAGUCGUUCUUGGGGUAUGCAGAGACGAGCACAGCUAAAAGUGUGCAACUGGCAUCCUUUGGCGAUAUAAGCUGUUCCACACCAGCACCUCGAGAUCCUGAUGUACCAGCUGUGUCAACGUGGGAUGCAUCAGGUUGACCUUCCCCUGUGCACAUCUGAUGCCCAUGCACCUUGGACCUCCUGGCUAGGCUGCUAGCUCUUGGUACAUUAACCCAUCCCACAAGCAAAUGGGGACCCAGGGCCCUGCACCUGAAUGCAUCACUGUAAAGUUGAACAUGGUGGAGAACUCACAGGGAAAAGUACAACAAGCACACACAGCGUUCAACUAGCAUCUGGU
This is an RNA transcript of Ornithodoros turicata, 5319 nucleotides long. It is a transcript of the gene named zinc finger protein 1-like, with no coding region annotated. The transcript is spliced from 5 exons. The record is from RefSeq and is a predicted model, not a curated record. NCBI's taxonomy places the organism in Eukaryota, Metazoa, Arthropoda, Arachnida, Ixodida, Argasidae.